GAUCCCUGGCUCAGGAUGAACGCUGGCGGCGUGCCUAAUACAUGCAAGUCGAGCGAAUGGAUUAAGAGCUUGCUCUUAUGAAGUUAGCGGCGGACGGGUGAGUAACACGUGGGUAACCUACCCAUAAGACUGGGAUAACUCCGGGAAACCGGGGCUAAUACCGGAUAAUAUUUUGAACUGCAUAGUUCGAAAUUGAAAGGCGGCUUCGGCUGUCACUUAUGGAUGGACCCGCGUCGCAUUAGCUAGUUGGUGAGGUAACGGCUCACCAAGGCGACGAUGCGUAGCCGACCUGAGAGGGUGAUCGGCCACACUGGGACUGAGACACGGCCCAGACUCCUACGGGAGGCAGCAGUAGGGAAUCUUCCGCAAUGGACGAAAGUCUGACGGAGCAACGCCGCGUGAGUGAUGAAGGCUUUCGGGUCGUAAAACUCUGUUGUUAGGGAAGAACAAGUGCUAGUUGAAUAAGCUGGCACCUUGACGGUACCUAACCAGAAAGCCACGGC
Molecule: ribosomal RNA, 503 nt
Filed under: Bacillaceae bacterium CL1.59
Lineage: Bacteria; Bacillati; Bacillota; Bacilli; Caryophanales; Bacillaceae
Description: bacterial SSU rRNA
Rfam family: Bacterial small subunit ribosomal RNA
Source: RNAcentral